This 448-nucleotide ribosomal RNA is filed under the name Synergistetes bacterium oral taxon 362. RNAcentral describes it as "bacterial SSU rRNA". It matches the Rfam family "Bacterial small subunit ribosomal RNA", at positions 28 to 495 of the family's 1533-position model. The record is from RNAcentral. Lineage: Bacteria; Thermotogati; Synergistota.
GAUGAACGCUGGCGGCGUGCGUAACACAUGCAAGUUGGACGACGGUGCUAUGAAGUGGUAACACGGAAUGGUAUACGGAGUAGCGGACGGGUGAGUAAAGCAUGAGGAGCUGUCCUGUUGAGGGGGAUAACGUUCGGAAACGGACCCUAAUACCCCAUAGGCCGAGAGGUUAAAGGCAGAGAUGCGCGACAGGAGGUACUCGUGUCCUAUCAGCUGGUUGGUGAGGUAACGGCUCACCAAGGCAACGACGGGUAGCCGGCCUGAGAGGGUGACCGGCCACACUGGAACUGAGACACGGUCCAGACUCCUACGGGAGGCAGCAGUGGGGAAUAUUGGGCAAUGGGAGAAAUCCUGACCCAGCGACGCCGCGUGAACGAAGACGGCCUUCCGGGUUGUAAAUUCUUUUAUGUGGGAAGAAGGAAGUGACGUACCACAUGAAUAAGCCCCG